RNAcentral lists this ribosomal RNA (485 nucleotides) under uncultured bacterium. RNAcentral describes it as "partial 16S ribosomal RNA". It matches the Rfam family "Bacterial small subunit ribosomal RNA", at positions 899 to 1397 of the family's 1533-position model. The record is from RNAcentral.
ACUCAAAUGAAUUGACGGGGAACCGCACAAGCAGUGGAGCAUGUGGUUUAAUUCGAAGCUACGCGAAGAACCUUACCGAGGCUUGACAUCCUAGGAAUCCCGCAGAAAUGUGGGAGUGCCUUCGGGAGCCUAGUGACAGGUGCUGCAUGGCCGUCGUCAGCUCGUGUCGUGAGAUGUUGGGUUAAGUCCCGCAACGAGCGCAACCCUUAUCGUCUGUUGUAUUUUUCAGGCGAGACUGCCCGGGCCAACCGGGAGGAAGGUGGGGAUGACGUCAGGUCAGCAUGGCCCUUACGCCUCGGGCUACACACGUGCUACAAUGGCCGGUACAACGCGUUGCCAACCCGCAAGGGGGAGCUAAUCGCAUCAAAACCGGUCCCAGUUCGGAUUGAGGGCUGCAACUCGCCCUCAUGAAGUCGGAAUUGCUAGUAAACGUGGGUCAGCAUACCACGUUGAAUACGUUCCCGGUUCUUGCACACACCGCCCGU